Molecule: ribosomal RNA, 2604 nt
Filed under: Candidatus Roizmanbacteria bacterium
Lineage: Bacteria; Candidatus Roizmaniibacteriota
Description: partial 23S ribosomal RNA
Rfam family: Bacterial large subunit ribosomal RNA
Source: RNAcentral
AGAGAGUUUAAGGCUAACGGUGGAUGCCUAGGCAGUUUGGGCCGAGGAAGGACGCUUGCUAGCGGGCGAAAACAACGGUAAGGCCGCAAGCAGCCGUUACUAGCCGUUGGUUUCCGAAUGGGGUAACCCGUCCCAACGGAAGUUGGGACAUCCCGCUUUUUGCGGGAGGGGCACCCGGGGAACCGAAACAUCCAAGUACCCGGAGGAAAAGAAAUCAUAUGAGAUUGCCUAAGUAGCGGCGAGCGAAAGGGCAACAGCCUAAACCCCGCCUUUUGGCGGGGGGUUGCGGGACCUUCCACAAAACAAAGUCUUUUCUAGGAGAAUGACUUGGAAAAGUCAGCCAUAGAAGGUGAGAGCCCUGUAUCCGAAAGAAAAGACUUUGUUGGAAGGUAUCCCAAGUACCACGGGGCACGGCAAACCCUGUGGGAAGCUGGGUCGGUCACGAUCCAAGGCUAAAUACCCAAACUGACCGAUAGCGCACUAGUACCGUGAGGGAAAGGUGAAAAGAACCCCAACAUAGGGAGUGAAAUAGAGACUGAAACCGUUAGCUAACAAACAGAGAGAGCUCCGCCUUUGGCGGGGUGAUCUCGUGCCUAUUGAAGAAUGAGCCAGCGAGUUCUUGCUAUGUGUCUUUUUGCUUAAUCCCCAUAUUGGGGAGGAGGCAGAGGGAAACCGAGUCCAAAAAGGGCGCUUAUGAUACAUAGCAAGAGACCCGAAACCGGGUGAGCUAACCAUGGCCAGGGUGAACUCCGCCGAAAGGCGGGGGGAGGCCCGAACCCGUUGCCGGUGAAAUGGCAUGGGAGGAGCUGUGGUUAGGGGUAAUAUGCCUAUCGAACCCGGAGAUAGCUGGUUCUCCCCGAAAUAUAUUUAGGUAUAGCCCUUGUUAAAACUUACUUCGGGGUAGAGCUACUGGAUGGUUCGCCAAGCUUUAAGCGAGGCGAAUCAACCAAACUCCGAAUACGAAGUAAGGUUAACAAGGAGUCAGUCCUGCCGGGAUAAGCUGGUAUGACGAGAGGGGAACAGCCCAGAUUCCCAUCUAAGGUUCCCAAAUGACUCCUAAGUGUUUUCUUAAGGUCGUCAACUUCCUAAAACAGCCGGGAAGUUGGCUUAGAAGCAGCCAUCUUUUAAAGAGUGCGUAACAGCUCACCGGUCUAGGAAGUUGGCGCCGUAAAUGAUCGGAACUUAAGAAGUCUACCGAAGAUGGAACUCUUCGACGUUACGUCGAAGGGGGUAGGGGAGCGUUCCUAACGCGGUGAAGCCCCGCCGUAAGGCUGGGUGGAGCGUUAGGAAGUGAGAAUGCUGGCAUGAGUAGUGAUUCUUUCCGGUGAAAGCCCGGAAUGCCGAAAGCCUAAGGUUUCCCUGGCAAUGUCAAUCAACCAGGGGUUAGUCGGAACUAAUCUCGCUGUCGUUAGGCAGCGGGAGAUGUACAAGCAGUUAAUAUUCUGCUACCUAAGAAAAGGCGCUAUUACUUAAUCAACGACGAGGUUUGUUGGCUCCAGCCUCGCCUUUGGCGGGGUCUAAAUAGCAAGUCCUUCGGCCUUGUGUUGAAGGGCAAGCUAUGAUGGCAAUUCUUCAGCAAUGAAGGAGAGUGGAGUUCAAUAAGCCUCCGGGAAAAGUUGAUUAAGGAGCCUUUUCUUAGACCGUACCGCAAACCGACACAGGUAGGCUGGUGGAGGACACCAAGGCAUGCGGGUGAGGCCGGCUCAAGGAACUCGGCAAAAAAGCUGAGCGUAAGGUUUCCGAGAUGCUCUCCCCGCCUUUUUGGCGGGGCGCAGCGAAAGUUUGUCAGCCGACUGUUUAUCAAAAACACAGGUUCCUGCAAACCCGUAUAGGGGAUGUAUAGGAGCUGAGACCUGUCCAGUGCCGGUAAGUUAAGCGCUGGGGUUGACCCCGCCUUUGGCGGGGGAGGCUCUGGUGCAAGCUCCGGUGAACGACAGCUCUAACCUUGAGAGUUCUAAGGUAGCGUAACCCCUUGCCGGGUAAGUUCCGGCCCGCAUGAAAGGUCUAACGAGCUGGCAACUGUCUUGAGCCGGUGCCCGACGAAGUUGAAAUGGCUGUGAAGAUGCGGCCUGCUUGCACAUGGACAAAAAGACCCCGGGAGCUUUACUGAAGCUUGGCAUUGGAAGAGAAAAGUUAAUUGUUGAGCGUAGGAGGGACCCCUCCGUAAGGCGGGGGCCAAUGAAACACCUCUCUUUAACUUUUUUCUUCCUUAUCCUGCCUUUGGCGGGAGACAGUGCUAGGCGGUCAGUUUAGCUGGGGCGGCUUCCUCCAAAAAGGUAACGGAGGAGCACAAAGGUCAGCUUGGUCCGGAUGGAAAUCGGACUGGAAGUGCAUACGCAUAAGCUGGCUUAACUGUGAGAGUGACCACUCAAGCAGAGGCGAAAGCCGGUGUAAGUGAUCCCCCGAAUCGCUGUGAUCGCGGUCGGGGCUUAACGGAUAAAAGCUACCCCGGGGAUAACAGGCUAGUCGUCUCCGAGAGUUCCCAUCGACGAGACGGUUCGGCACCUCGAUGUCGGCUCACCGUAUCCUGGGGCUGAAGUCGGUCCCAAGGGUCGGGCUGUUCGCCCGUUAAAACGGUACGCGAGCUGGGUUCAGAACGUCGUG